AGUAGUUUGAUCGUGGCUCAGGACGAACGCUGGCGGCGUGCUUAACACAUGCAAGUCGAACGGAACCUUCGGGUUUAGUGGCGAACGGGUGAGUAAAGCGCAGGUAAUCUGCCGCAAAGUCGGGGACAACGUUCCGAAAGGGACGCUAAUACCGGAUGUUGUGCGGAGUCCGCAUGGAUUCUGUACUAAAGAUUUAUCGCUUUGCGAGGAGCCUGCGUCCGAUUAGCUAGUUGGUGUAGUAAAGGUGCACCAAGGCGACGAUCGGUAGCCGGUCUGAGAGGAUGAACGGCCACAAUGGAACUGAGACACGGUCCAUACUCC
RNAcentral lists this ribosomal RNA (321 nucleotides) under uncultured Veillonellaceae bacterium. RNAcentral's name for it is "bacterial SSU rRNA". It matches the Rfam family "Bacterial small subunit ribosomal RNA", at positions 1 to 339 of the family's 1533-position model. The record is from RNAcentral. Lineage: Bacteria; Bacillati; Bacillota; Negativicutes; Veillonellales; Veillonellaceae.